Molecule: long non-coding RNA, 389 nt
Filed under: Bos taurus (domestic cattle)
Lineage: Eukaryota; Metazoa; Chordata; Mammalia; Artiodactyla; Bovidae
Description: long non-coding RNA NONBTAT019505
Source: RNAcentral
ACUAACUCCAUUUGGAGAUUAAGUGCCAUUUUGAUGCCCAAAAUAGAGGCAUUAAGCAGGAAAACAUAAAUACAUUAGUGGCAAAAGAUACAGAAUUUUUUGCAGAUGUAAAGAACUGUUAUUUAUGUGGGCAUGCUAAUGUCUUUGACCACUCUAAUUGAAAACAUAAAUCAUAUUUACAUGAACUUAUAUUGACUCUUCCCCCAGUUCCUGUGUAUAUUUAGUAACUUUUUUGUGAAAAUUUUGCUAAUCAAUGAUCUAUCUUAUUAUUUUUUACAGCUUUUUUUUUUUUUACAGCUUCUUUAUUCCUUGAUAUAACUACCUCUUAAACUAGAGAUACUUCUCUUACUACUUGUUUAUAGAUGCCCUUCUUCAGUUUAUCUUCCAUU